This 462-nucleotide ribosomal RNA is filed under the name uncultured bacterium. RNAcentral describes it as "partial 16S ribosomal RNA". It matches the Rfam family "Bacterial small subunit ribosomal RNA", at positions 28 to 507 of the family's 1533-position model. The record is from RNAcentral.
GACGAACGCUGGCGGCGUGCUUAACACAUGCAAGUCGAACGGAAAGGCCCUUCGGGGUACUCGAGUGGCGAACGGGUGAGUAACACGUUAGUGAUCUGCCCUGCACUUUGGGAUAAGCCUGGGACACUGGGUCUCAUACCGAAUAAGACCACGCGCUUCAUGGUGUGUGGGUGUAAGCUUUUGCGGUGUGGGAUGGGCCCGCGGCCUAUCAGCUUGUUGGUGGGGUAGUGGCCUACCAAGGCGACGACGGGUAGCCGGCCUGAGAGGGUGACCGGCCACACUGGGACUGAGAUACGGCCCAGACUCCUACGGGAGGCAGCAGUGGGGAAUAUUGCACAAUGGGCGCAAGCCUGAUGCAGCGACGCCGCGUGAGGGAUGACGGCCUUCGGGUUGUAAACCUCCUUCAAUAGGGACGAAGCGCAAGUGACGGUACCUAUAGAAGAAGCACCGGCCAACUACGUG